RNAcentral lists this ribosomal RNA (501 nucleotides) under uncultured bacterium. Its description in RNAcentral is "partial 16S ribosomal RNA". It matches the Rfam family "Bacterial small subunit ribosomal RNA", at positions 30 to 523 of the family's 1533-position model. The record is from RNAcentral.
AUUGAACGCUGGCGGCAGGCUUAACACAUGCAAGUCGAGCGGAGCGAGGGUGCUUGCACCUUAGCUUAGCGGCGGACGGGUGAGUAAUGCUUAGGAAUCUGCCUAUUAGUGGGGGACAACAUUCCGAAAGGAAUGCUAAUACCGCAUACGCCCUACGGGGGAAAGCAGGGGAUCUUCGGACCUUGCGCUAAUAGAUGAGCCUAAGUCGGAUUAGCUAGUUGGUGGGGUAAAGGCCUACCAAGGCGACGAUCUGUAGCGGGUCUGAGAGGAUGAUCCGCCACACUGGGACUGAGACACGGCCCAGACUCCUACGGGAGGUAGCAGUGGGGAAUAUUGGACAAUGGGCGGAAGCCUGAUCCAGCCAUGCCGCGUGUGUGAAGAAGGCCUUUUGGUUGUAAAGCACUUUAAGCGAGGAGGAGGCUACUUAGAUUAAUACUCUAGGAUAGUGGACGUUACUCGCAGAAUAAGCACCGGCUAACUCUGUGCCAGCCGCCGCAGUAA